GGAGUUGUGGCUCAGUGGUAGAGCGCUUGCCUAGCAUGCGUGAAGCCCUGGGUUCGAUCCCCAGCACCG
This 69-nucleotide transfer RNA is filed under the name Marmota monax (woodchuck). It matches the Rfam family "tRNA". Rfam says of the family: Transfer RNA (tRNA) molecules are approximately 80 nucleotides in length. Their secondary structure includes four short double-helical elements and three loops (D, anti-codon, and T loops). Lineage: Eukaryota; Metazoa; Chordata; Mammalia; Rodentia; Sciuridae. The record is from Rfam by way of RNAcentral.